GGGUUGUGAGGUUAAGCGACUAAGCGUACACGGUGGAUGCCCUGGCAGUCAGAGGCGAUGAAGGACGUGCUAAUCUGCGAUAAGCGUCGGUAAGGUGAUAUGAACCGUUAUAACCGGCGAUUUCCGAAUGGGGAAACCCAGUGUGAUUCGUCACACUAUCAUUAACUGAAUCCAUAGGUUAAUGAGGCGAACCGGGGGAACUGAAACAUCUAAGUACCCCGAGGAAAAGAAAUCAACCGAGAUUCCCCCAGUAGCGGCGAGCGAACGGGGAGCAGCCCAGAGCCUGAAUCAGUGUGUGUGUUAGUGGAAGCGUCUGGAAAGGCGCGCGAUACAGGGUGACAGCCCCGUACACAAAAAUGCACAUGCUGUGAGCUCGAUGAGUAGGGCGGGACACGUGGUAUCCUGUCUGAAUAUGGGGGGACCAUCCUCCAAGGCUAAAUACUCCUGACUGACCGAUAGUGAACCAGUACCGUGAGGGAAAGGCGAAAAGAACCCCGGCGAGGGGAGUGAAAAAGAACCUGAAACCGUGUACGUACAAGCAGUGGGAGCACGCUUAGGCGUGUGACUGCGUACCUUUUGUAUAAUGGGUCAGCGACUUAUAUUCUGUAGCAAGGUUAACCGAAUAGGGGAGCCGAAGGGAAACCGAGUCUUAACUGGGCGUUAAGUUGCAGGGUAUAGACCCGAAACCCGGUGAUCUAGCCAUGGGCAGGUUGAAGGUUGGGUAACACUAACUGGAGGACCGAACCGACUAAUGUUGAAAAAUUAGCGGAUGACUUGUGGCUGGGGGUGAAAGGCCAAUCAAACCGGGAGAUAGCUGGUUCUCCCCGAAAGCUAUUUAGGUAGCGCCUCGUGAAUUCAUCUCCGGGGGUAGAGCACUGUUUCGGCAAGGGGGUCAUCCCGACUUACCAACCCGAUGCAAACUGCGAAUACCGGAGAAUGUUAUCACGGGAGACACACGGCGGGUGCUAACGUCCGUCGUGAAGAGGGAAACAACCCAGACCGCCAGCUAAGGUCCCAAAGUCAUGGUUAAGUGGGAAACGAUGUGGGAAGGCCCAGACAGCCAGGAUGUUGGCUUAGAAGCAGCCAUCAUUUAAAGAAAGCGUAAUAGCUCACUGGUCGAGUCGGCCUGCGCGGAAGAUGUAACGGGGCUAAACCAUGCACCGAAGCUGCGGCAGCGACGCUUAUGCGUUGUUGGGUAGGGGAGCGUUCUGUAAGCCUGUGAAGGUGUGCUGUGAGGCAUGCUGGAGGUAUCAGAAGUGCGAAUGCUGACAUAAGUAACGAUAAAGCGGGUGAAAAGCCCGCUCGCCGGAAGACCAAGGGUUCCUGUCCAACGUUAAUCGGGGCAGGGUGAGUCGACCCCUAAGGCGAGGCCGAAAGGCGUAGUCGAUGGGAAACAGGUUAAUAUUCCUGUACUUGGUGUUACUGCGAAGGGGGGACGGAGAAGGCUAUGUUGGCCGGGCGACGGUUGUCCCGGUUUAAGCGUGUAGGCUGGUUUUCCAGGCAAAUCCGGAAAAUCAAGGCUGAGGCGUGAUGACGAGGCACUACGGUGCUGAAGUAACAAAUGCCCUGCUUCCAGGAAAAGCCUCUAAGCAUCAGGUAACAUCAAAUCGUACCCCAAACCGACACAGGUGGUCAGGUAGAGAAUACCAAGGCGCUUGAGAGAACUCGGGUGAAGGAACUAGGCAAAAUGGUGCCGUAACUUCGGGAGAAGGCACGCUGAUAUGUAGGUGAAGCGACUUGCUCGUGGAGCUGAAAUCAGUCGAAGAUACCAGCUGGCUGCAACUGUUUAUUAAAAACACAGCACUGUGCAAACACGAAAGUGGACGUAUACGGUGUGACGCCUGCCCGGUGCCGGAAGGUUAAUUGAUGGGGUCAGCGCAAGCGAAGCUCUUGAUCGAAGCCCCGGUAAACGGCGGCCGUAACUAUAACGGUCCUAAGGUAGCGAAAUUCCUUGUCGGGUAAGUUCCGACCUGCACGAAUGGCGUAAUGAUGGCCAGGCUGUCUCCACCCGAGACUCAGUGAAAUUGAACUCGCUGUGAAGAUGCAGUGUACCCGCGGCAAGACGGAAAGACCCCGUGAACCUUUACUAUAGCUUGACACUGAACAUUGAGCCUUGAUGUGUAGGAUAGGUGGGAGGCUUGGAAGUGUGGACGCCAGUCUGCAUGGAGCCGACCUUGAAAUACCACCCUUUAAUGUUUGAUGUUCUAACGUUGACCCGUAAUCCGGGUUGCGGACAGUGUCUGGUGGGUAGUUUGACUGGGGCGGUCUCCUCCUAAAGAGUAACGGAGGAGCACGAAGGUUGGCUAAUCCUGGUCGGACAUCAGGAGGUUAGUGCAAUGGCAUAAGCCAGCUUGACUGCGAGCGUGACGGCGCGAGCAGGUGCGAAAGCAGGUCAUAGUGAUCCGGUGGUUCUGAAUGGAAGGGCCAUCGCUCAACGGAUAAAAGGUACUCCGGGGAUAACAGGCUGAUACCGCCCAAGAGUUCAUAUCGACGGCGGUGUUUGGCACCUCGAUGUCGGCUCAUCACAUCCUGGGGCUGAAGUAGGUCCCAAGGGUAUGGCUGUUCGCCAUUUAAAGUGGUACGCGAGCUGGGUUUAGAACGUCGUGAGACAGUUCGGUCCCUAUCUGCCGUGGGCGCUGGAGAACUGAGGGGGGCUGCUCCUAGUACGAGAGGACCGGAGUGGACGCAUCACUGGUGUUCGGGUUGUCAUGCCAAUGGCACUGCCCGGUAGCUAAAUGCGGAAGAGAUAAGUGCUGAAAGCAUCUAAGCACGAAACUUGCCCCGAGAUGAGUUCUCCCUGACUCCUUGAGAGUCCUGAAGGAACGUUGAAGACGACGACGUUGAUAGGCCGGGUGUGUAAGCGCAGCGAUGCGUUGAGCUAACCGGUACUAAUGAACCGUGAGGCUUAACCUUACAACGCCGAAGCUGUU
This 2930-nucleotide ribosomal RNA is filed under the name Escherichia coli. RNAcentral describes it as "bacterial LSU rRNA". It matches the Rfam family "Bacterial large subunit ribosomal RNA". Lineage: Bacteria; Pseudomonadati; Pseudomonadota; Gammaproteobacteria; Enterobacterales; Enterobacteriaceae. The record is from RNAcentral.